This 301-nucleotide ribosomal RNA is filed under the name uncultured bacterium. Its description in RNAcentral is "partial 16S ribosomal RNA". It matches the Rfam family "Bacterial small subunit ribosomal RNA", at positions 509 to 808 of the family's 1533-position model. The record is from RNAcentral.
CAGUAGCCGCGGUAAUACGUAGGUCCCGAGCGUUGUCCGGAUUUAUUGGGCGUAAAGGGAGCGCAGGCGGUUUAGUAAGUCUGAAGUUAAAGGCAUUGGCUCAACCAAUGUAUGCUUUGGAAACUGUUAGACUUGAGUGCAGAAGGGGAGAGUGGAAUUCCAUGUGUAGCGGUGAAAUGCGUAGAUAUAUGGAGGAACACCGGUGGCGAAAGCGGCUCUCUGGUCUGUCACUGACGCUGAGGCUCGAAAGCGUGGGUAGCGAACAGGAUUAGAUACCCCUGUAGUCCCUGUCUCUUAUACA